AAUGGACACACACACACACACACACACACACACACACUGUGUCUAGUGUCCUCACAGUAAUGGGAGGGAACUGUGCCUUACUCCCUGUGUCUCGCGCAUUGGUCGUGCGCCCACAGUGCCCCUAGGCCUGGGGAUAUGCCCUUGUCAACAGAGCGACAGCAAACACUUUACUGGAGAUGGGGCCCUGCACACACUGUGGCUUCCCUGUUCUCCCAGAACCUGGGAUCCUGCAGAUACCCCUAAGAAGAGUCCAGGCUCCCCCUGGGAGGGUCAGCCACAGCCCAGCCCCACCGAGUCGGUGCAGCCUGCACUGAGCCGCUGACCUGUGGAGAGGGUCACGCCAGACCCACAGCCCAGCCAGCCCCACUCCCAGAGGCACAUCAAGGAAGGGGGCAGAACCCUGGGGACUCUUGAUGGGCAUCUUUUCAGGAGCAGACACACGAACUGUUCCAGGAACAGGGGACCUGGGAAGGUCAGUAGCUGGUCAGGGUUUCUGAGGACCAGCGUCAGUGAUGGGACCUGCCUGUCCCUUCUCAUAUGGGAUGUCUCUCCUGGGGAUCCUGUACUGUCUUAUUUGUGCAGGUUCACUCUGUGGGACUUGUCUUUAUAAAUCUCAAAUCUCAGGAACAGGAGAGCUGUGCUUCAAAAGCCCCCAUAGAGAAGACACAUUCCCAUCCUGCUGUGACUGAAACAGCUCCAUCCUGGGCAUGGGGAGGGCUCAUGUGUCCCACCUGGGAUGAGAAGCAGCAGCCACACGUGAGCUGAGGAGGACUCAAGGCUGCUUCCCAGCACUUCCCCACAGAGUGAAAUUUGUGUGUUUGCCCCAAAUCCAGGCUGGCCCUGUGACUUGCUUCUUUCAAACUUCUUGGCCUGGAAAGUGCAGGCACCAGCUGUCACUGUCACCACUAUUGUGACAGUGUACACAGCACCAGGACAGGAUCCCAGGGAUGGGGCUGAGGACAGACACUAGCUAAGUGGACCCAUUGAAAACGUGCGGAUCUGCUGAGGUUCACACUCCUGGAAGGACAGAUCUUGGAGGGUUUGGAGGAGGAAGCAGCCACUGUCGGUGACUCAGGAUCUGCUGCUCUGCGGGUCACCUCGUUGGCAAGUAACAGUGGGCAGGUGGCCUGUUGUUCACCGAAAUAUCAUGAUGUGCACGAUUCUAUUCAAGUUGCUGAAAAUAAAAACAAAGCCAAGAAACUUCCAAAUAAAUAUGUUACAUGGAUUAAAGCUUUUCUUCAAUAAUGCAGGAGGUUUGAGAAGUUUCCCAAAAAAGUAAAAAGUGGACAAGUUCAUCACCACUAGACCGGCCUUACAGGAAUGCUAAGUGUCUCUGGCAGGUUUCCAGAACAAGGAAGUAGCUGCAUCAGCUCCACUCUGUUAUCUGCCAAUUGAUAGAUUUGCAUAGUUUUUAAUUUUAAUUUAUCUUCUGUUUUUUUCCCUCCAUAAACUCCUUCUCCCUUCCUUUCAUAAUUCUGUCUAUUAAUGCAACUCAUAUUUAGCUGAAAAUGCUGGGGUCAUUGGAAUAAAUUUCUAUUUUUCCUCCACCAAAUCUAAUAAGCUGUCUCCAGGGGUGUCCAUCUCCGUUUUCUUUUCUGCCAUUCCCAUGGGAUAAUUUCCUUGUUCCUAUGUGAGUCCAGCCCUCAUCACCAUGGGCCAUCCAACCAUCAUGCACCCAGGAACAGCUUCAGGAAAUGUACCCUGCCAGCUGCCUAUCAUCCUCCACCUGCACAGUGAUCAUUCCUUCAGCUUUCACUCAUGCUGGAGGGCUUUCUACACAAAAGGGCAUUUCACACCCACUCCCAGCACAGUUCUGGGACCCUGUAUACCUCCCAGAGACAGGUACACAUCCUUCCCCUUUGUUGUUAAUUUUGUUUAAUUUAUUUAAAAUUCACUGGGAAAUCACUGAUGAUGGGGGUGACCAGCCUGUCCAUUCCAUCUGACGGCCCCACCUGUGAGGUUGGCCACCCUAGUGUGCUGUGCUCAUGGGGCCAUCUGGACACACACAAACACCAGGUGUGUGAGUUAUUAGAGGAGACCCGGGGUCAGCAGGUGUCUGUGCCCCACAGGACACAGGUCUGUCCUGCAGUAGAGCCUGCAUGACCUGGAAUCAUACAUGUGCAUGACCCGUGGUCUCAGCACAUCAGUUGAGGCCAGCUUCAGGCAAUUCCUGUGUAACCUGCCCUGAGUGCCCACAGAGGACAGAUGCAUGACAAGGAUGUAAGGGAAUGAUGUGGGUUAGGGGAACUGAAGCUCAAUCUUUACUGAGGCUUUACUCGGCACCUGGACCUUAUGGAAGACUAAGAAGAAGAGAACAAGAGCCCGGCCCCAAAUAUCUCCUGGUUUAAGGUCAGCUUUAGUGGGAUUUUAGAGAGUAGAAGACACAGGGGUGACGCUGGAGUGGUUUUCUUUGGGAUACUUGGGGAGCAGCAGAAGGUGGGCCGGGAUCAGGACUCCAUCUGGCUGGUUCUCAUGAUCUACAUGGAUUCUCAUAGUGGAAAGUGAGAGACAUGACCUAGAACACAGCCCCCCAGGGCUGAUCUCAGAGAAGCCUGCUAAGUGAAUGACUCAGCAGAAAUGUGGUGGGGUUUUCAUCUUGGAUCUAUUUUUCUUUAUAAAAAUAAUCUGAGAGAUGUGUCAGCCUCGGUGGGCUGCUUCUCCCUCCAGGAGACGGAGCUAACACAAUUGUAUCUGUGAAUCUGCUUGGCUUUCCAUCAGAAGAUACCACAGACUAGGUAGUUUCAAAUAACAAAUAUUAAUUUUCUUAUUGUUCUGGAGUCUUGACGUCCAAGAUCUGGGUGCAGAAAGGGUUAGUUUUUUGAGAGCCCUCUUCCAGGCUUGCAAAGGGCCACCUUCUCAUGCAGCGCGUCCCCACAUGGCCUCUCCUCUGUGUGCAUGUGGAGAGAGAGGCCUCUGAUGUCUUCCACUUCCCAUAAGGACAAGAGUCCUACUGGAUUAGGGUCCCACAUUUAUGACCACAGUUAACUUAUUUGCCUUCUUAAAAUCCCUCUCUCCAAAUACAGAGCCACUGGGAUUGGGGUUUCAUCACAUGAAUUUAAGAGCAGGACACGAUGCAGCCGAUGACGCCAAUCAAGAGAUGGUGGGAAGCCUUGAAAUAUUUUUUCAAGAAGCGAGGAUGUGAGGAAGCAGAACCACAGAUAAUAAAGAAAGAGGAGGCCUGGGGACAGCUGAGGUCCUGGCGAGGAGGGAGAGCACUGAGCUGAUGAGGAAGCCCCGCCCUCCCUGCACCUGCUCCAGACCCGGCCUCUUGCUCUGUGGGCCCCGCGCGCCCCCUGCUGGCUCUGAGCAGCACCUGCGCCGGUCCCCUCCGCCUCCCUGCAGGGAGGUUUGUGUCUGGGCUCACACUCACCUCCCCUCACUGUGUCUCUCGCACAGUAAUACACGGCCGUGUCCGCGGCGGUCACAGAGCUCAGCUUCAGGGAGAACUGGUUCUUGGACUUGUCUACUGAUAUGGUGACUCGACUCUUGAGGGACGGGUUGUAGUUGGUGCUCCCACUAUGAUAGAUUUCCCCAAUCCACUCCAGCCCCUUCCCUGGGGGCUGGCGGACCCAACUCCACCAGUUACUACUGCUGAUGGAGCCACCAGAGACAGCGCAGGUGAGGGACAGGGUCCCCGAAGGCUUCACCAGUCCUGGGCCCGACUCCUGCAGCUGCACCUGAGACAGGACCCCUGUGAACAGAGAGACCCACAGUGA
Molecule: long non-coding RNA, 3716 nt
Organism: Homo sapiens (human)
Lineage: Eukaryota; Metazoa; Chordata; Mammalia; Primates; Hominidae
Exons: 3
Source: RefSeq, a predicted model, not a curated record